AAUGAAUUGGCAGAUUAUAUGUAUUAAGUUUAGGAUUUAAUAAAGUGAUGUAUUUCACAUUCAUUA
This 66-nucleotide transfer RNA is filed under the name Thampoa tiani. RNAcentral's name for it is "tRNA-Leu". Lineage: Eukaryota; Metazoa; Arthropoda; Insecta; Hemiptera; Cicadellidae. The record is from RNAcentral.